UGGGGAAUAUUGGACAAUGGGCGCAAGCCUGAUCCAGCAAUGCCGCGUGAGUGAUGAAGGCCUUAGGGUUGUAAAGCUCUUUCGCACGCGACGAUGAUGACGGUAGCGUGAGAAGAAGCCCCGGCUAACUUCGUGCCAGCAGCCGCGGUAAUACGAAGGGGGCUAGCGUUGUUCGGAAUUACUGGGCGUAAAGGGCGCGUAGGCGGCCUGUUUAGUCAGAAGUGAAAGCCCCGGGCUCAACCUGGGAAUAGCUUUUGAUACUGGCAGGCUUGAGUUCCGGAGAGGAUGGUGGAAUUCCCAGUGUAGAGGUGAAAUUCGUAGAUAUUGGGAAGAACACCGGUGGCGAAGGCGGCCAUCUGGACGGACACUGACGCUGAGGCGCGAAAGCGUGGGGAGCAAACAGGAUUAGAUACCCUGGUAGUCCACGCCGUAAAACGAUGAAUGCUAGACGUCGGGGUGCAUGCACUUCAGUGUCGCCGCUAACGCAUUAAGCAUUCCGCCU
RNAcentral lists this ribosomal RNA (502 nucleotides) under uncultured bacterium. Its description in RNAcentral is "partial 16S ribosomal RNA". It matches the Rfam family "Bacterial small subunit ribosomal RNA", at positions 355 to 874 of the family's 1533-position model. The record is from RNAcentral.